Molecule: long non-coding RNA, 2201 nt
Filed under: Capsicum annuum
Lineage: Eukaryota; Viridiplantae; Streptophyta; Magnoliopsida; Solanales; Solanaceae
Description: long non-coding RNA (CANN_LNC006853)
Source: RNAcentral
CUCUUUUGAGUUUUAUUAAUCGUUGCCUCCAAAGUUGUUUCUUCCUUCAAAAAUAAAACCACUAAACAGUCGCCUCACAGUCCUACCGUCGAGUUGCAGUCUGUUUCCAUCAUAAAUCAAUCCGCAAUAAUCACGAUUCACAAUCAUCUUCAUACAAAAUGGAGAGAAAAAAUUUCAGAUUUCAUAAAUCAACAUAGAAAAGAAAUCGGUGGGUGCGAAAUCUCUGGGGUUACUUAUAAACAUGAGUUAAGCAGAUACACAUGCUUUUCAGCUCCACUUCUAGAAUAUUUUGGUACGUAUUUUUGUUAUAGAUUAAUAAUGGUUCUUUCGUCAAUGUUUUUGUAAUGGUUGAACUUUCCUAUUUUUACUUAGUUUUACCAUGUGUAUAGCAAUUUAAUUUUGUCUGAUGUAUAAAUUAAAUACAAAAAGGGUCCGUUAGUAUCAGAAGUGAUGUUCGAUGAAGUGGUCUCGAUGUGUUUCCUCUUUUAACUAGUACAUGUCUACUGAAAGUUGUUCUAGGUUUCUCCAUUUACUUCAAUAUGGGCAAAACCACAGUUGGUUCCUAACCCCUGAGAUGUUACGGUCGUCCCUCCUUCAAAAAACACGAUUGUUCCUGCAACAACAACAACAUACCCAGUGUAUUUUUUCACAAAGUGGGCCGAAACACCACGAACAAAAAAUCCAAGCGCUGAUACAAACAAAGAACACUUUCCUACUAUUAUGGACAAACUCCUACCUACUAUCUCUUUGUCCUAAUCCGCAUCCUUCACACCUUCCUAUCAAGAGUCAUGUCCUCCGUAAGCUGUAACUGCUCCAUAUCAUACCUAAUCACCUCUACUCACAAUUCUACUCACAAUUGUUCCUGCAAUGGACAUGAUUUUGGAGGCUGGAAAAGUAUCCUUGUCAUAUAGUUUUCCACCAUUAGUAGGAAAUUGGUCACUCAAAACAGCUGACAGCUAUUUUGUCAGACUAAUUGGGGUUGUUUCGUAUAAGAAAAACACGAUCUACAAAUAUUGCGGAAGAUGAUGUUAUAUCUGUAAGCCUUGACUUAGAAAUGUAACUUGUGCAUCGUUAGUUGGGUGUGGGGAUUAUGAAUUAUUCUGUUUUAAAAUUUUUAAUUUCGUUUUCUUGCUUUUGUCAGAGAUUAACGCUUUUGGCUUAUAAAGUUUUUUUUAUUCUUAAAAGAAACAUUCAAUGGAGAGUUAAGAAAAAAAUUUGCCUUGCGAAGUCCAUAUUUGCAUACAAUUAACUUUGUGCUAUUUUUUUGUUUUGAUUUUAAGUCAAUUGUUAUAUUUUAAAUGCUUAUAUGCUAAUAGCGAAGAAUUUGAUUAAUAAGUAUUAAUAUUAACAGUUACAAAGCUUAUAGUAAGGCCACCACAUAAACCAUAAGGGCGGCAAUCUGAUAAGGUAUGGAUCCUUCUUUUUUCCUGGGGUUUAUAUUUAUGCAUUACAUGUCUCAGUGAUCUCUUCUAUCUUUGCACAAAGAUUGAUAUAUUGAGUUAUUGUUGGUAAGUCAGAACCAAAGAUGAAUUCAAAUCGCAAACACCUAUAUCGCAACGUCUAUAGCUUUCUGUUUAUGUUACUUUGGACUCUUCAAAAAUGUCGGAUCAUCCAAAAGUAGUACCUUUUUGGAGGAUCCGGAACGAGUUUGACAACAUUUUGAAGAAUCCGAGAAACAUACUCUCCAUUGAUAUAUUGAUCUGGAACAUCAUCGUUCUGAAUUUUGUCCUCCUCACGAACAAAAGUUGGCAAGGAAAAGUCUAUGUGAGAAAAACAAAGCUAGAGACUAGCAAAUCAACUGAAAGGAAAUGGAAUGAGAUGAGUGAACAGAACCUCAACUGCAGUACCAUGUUUUGUGUCAAAACUUUGAUAUCUCUUGCGAACAAGUUCUACCAAAAAGACUAUCAGGUUUUCAAACAAGUAACAUGGUUAGACAUUCUUAUUCUGUUCAUUUAUUCGUUGAUAGUGCAAUGAAAGAUUACAAAGUUCACUUAAUUAACUUGGAAAUAUUUCUGAGGCCACGGGCUAGAGUGUUCAUACCAGCAAUAUGAGCAAUGAACAAGUCUUCGACAUCAGUGUGUCUCCGGUCUCCCUUCGACUGUUAUAUGACCAAAAAUAUCUGAUAACUGUGAAUGUCUUCCUGUUGAUUCUUCUACUCUUAACUAGUGCAAUAUUGAGUUAGAAUAUUAAAUUACUUUAAC